UCAGAGAGAGGGAGCCUUCAGUCCACAUCGUACCCAGCCCGCCCCGAAUCAUUCCCGUCCCCAUCCCCCCGGCUCCGACUUGUUCCUGUCUAGACAGGGGCCCCCAUCAGAGCCGCCGCCAUCAGUGCAGGCGUCUGUGAGACCUUCAGUGAAGGAGACAGCGAAGACGUCCAUCCCCCAUCAGAGCUGGUUCCUGCCUCCUCUGUGCUUUGUUUGCCCUCCCUUCUGCCUCUCUGCCCCAUCCCAUCCCAGGCAACUACUGACUUGCUUUUCCUCCAUCUGUAGAUUCGUUAGGUUACACUUUGCAAAAUUCCACGUGAAUAAAAUCAGCAGUUUGUAUACCUUUUGUCUGGUUUCUCUCACUUAGAGUUAUUUUGUGAUUCAUCUGUGUUAUGGCCUGCAGUGAUAAUGCCUCUUGUUGUUGAGUAGUAUUAGGUCGCAUGGGUGUAACCUUUUGUUUAUCUUUACAUCUGUUGAUUGGCAUUUGAUUUGUUCACAGUAGGUGGCUUUGAAGCUGUUGGGGACACUCCUGUAGAAGAAGUAUGUGGUCUCCUGCUGAGUGGCUGGACCAUAGAGUAAGGCCAUGUUUACCUUUUUAGGAAAGUUCUCAAGUGUUUUCGAGAGUGCUUGUGGCAUUUUACGUUCCCAUCAGUGAUGCAUGAGAGUUGAAGUCCAUUCAUGUCCUUGCUCACUCGUGCUGUGAUCAGUCACUCAAUUGUAACGUACACAUUUUAGCCUCAGUUGUGCUAAUAGGUGCGUACUAGUGUUUCAUUGUUUUUAAUCUGCAUUCCUAUAGUGAUUUAUGAUACUGAGUGUAUUGUACAUAGUGCCAACUAUGUUUCUUUGGUGAAGUGUAUUCAAGUCUUCUACCCAUUUAUGUAUAUGAACAUUUGUUAUCUUAUGGUUGGUUGGUUACUUAAGGUUAAUAUCUAUGUCUUUGAUAUUAGUAACAUUACUCUCAGGUAGUCUACAUUAUCUGUAUAUUAUCUUCUCUGUUUUACUCUUCUGUGUUUUCUUGGAUAAGUCAGCUUACCUUUCUAAGAUAGUUUCCGCGGCUGUAAAUUCAGGAUAGUAUUUACUGCCUAUGGGUGAUUGAA
This 1097-nucleotide long non-coding RNA is filed under the name Oryctolagus cuniculus (rabbit). RNAcentral describes it as "lncRNA (ENSOCUG00000038569.1)". The record is from RNAcentral. Lineage: Eukaryota; Metazoa; Chordata; Mammalia; Lagomorpha; Leporidae.